RNAcentral lists this microRNA (20 nucleotides) under Ciona intestinalis (vase tunicate). RNAcentral's name for it is "cin-miR-4026-3p". The record is from miRBase by way of RNAcentral. Lineage: Eukaryota; Metazoa; Chordata; Ascidiacea; Phlebobranchia; Cionidae.
UCUAUGACGUCAUUACUACG